Molecule: unclassified non-coding RNA, 4687 nt
Filed under: Dufourea novaeangliae
Lineage: Eukaryota; Metazoa; Arthropoda; Insecta; Hymenoptera; Halictidae
Description: uncharacterized LOC107191403, transcript variant X2
Source: RNAcentral
ACGGUAGCGCUGGUAGCAUCAUCCACCGUCGUCGGCUACCACCACCAGGCCAGGCCAAACGGCUCCUCCACCACCACCACCACCACCGACAACGAUAACCACCGGGGAACGAGGAGCCCGGUGGCAGGCUACUCGCGCAGUCUCCUGACCGCGUAGGCCCCCAAUACACCAACAACCGCUUCUCUGACCGUUCAAGGCGCCCCCCGGUCGAAGCGGAGGAUCAAAAUGUCGGAGACGGAAGACAUCCGUGCCGUAGUGGAGAACAAUGAUUUCCACAGCAUCAUCGAGGAGGAGAGCGGCCGGUCCAGCUCCGCGGAUUAUUUAGACACUUAUGACGACACGCCGAAGGAAACGAAAGAGCUGUCCGAGGAGAGCAACGAGGAAGAGUUCAAGGAGGACAAGGAGACGUUCGUAGAGACGGUGAAGAAACCGCUUGAGGUGGACAGGAAGGAGAUCACGCAACCAGCGCGUACAACACCGGAAACCAUCACGUCGUCGUCGCCCAGUGCCGUCAUUAUCGACACGAUCCAACCGGAAACGGUGGUCGGUAAGGUAGGGACCGCAGUGAACGGCGAUGAACCGGCCGGUCACGCUGCAGCAGUUGGUCAGUGGAAUUCUACGUUACCGGCGUUAGUGGAGCGUCUCCGUUCAGCGCUCGAACACACCCUAGCGGGUGGAGCCGAAAAGCAGUCGGUGGAGGAGGAGGUGAUUCAACAGCGGCCAACACGCGAGGAUUCCGGCGUGGACUCCGAGGAGGACUUCCGGAUACGUACGUCCAUGGAACGUGUGCUCGUCGGUUGCACCGAACCGGAGCUCAGGAAGGAUCUAAAGUUUCUCGAGGAUCUUCUGUUGUCCGACAUCCAGACCGCCCUGUCGCGGCUACGGGAGACCUUGGAACGUACGGACGUAGCCGCGUUGGCAAGAAACGGCGCCGCAUCCGAUUCCACUGGAAAGCUACACUUGCUGCGACUCGUGUCCAGUCUGUUAUCUAGGCUACAGGUGCCCGAGGUGGAGGAGAAGAAAAUCCUACAAUCGGAGAAAACGACGACCCCGGUACUGCCGUCGACGUCGUUGAGCAGAAGACGCAGAGGAACUAGACACACCAUCGGCGUCUCGACGGAGGAAUUGGCCAGGGCCAGGAAGUGGUUGGAGGAGGAGAGAAACAGCGGUUGCUUGCCGCUGGAGGACGUGCGCCCGGCGAAGGAGAGGGGUCAGAACGGCAACAACGAGGAGACGGUGAAUUUGGAGAAGAGGUCGGAGGAGAUACGAGACAAGUGCGUAAAGGACGCGAUCAAUCAGCGCCAGCUGUUGGAGGACAAGAACAAGGAGAUCAGAGAGAGCUACAAAGGCGGCCAGGAGGUGGACGAUAAACAGGUCGAGAGUACGUGUCGGUAUAAUAAUAUUUACCAAGAGAGUAACGUGAAUAUUGUCGAGGACAACGAGGUGAAGGGCCGAGUGAGCAGAUUGGCGGAGAUACUCGGACAACGGGCCGAGUUAGCGGCCAGUCGGUAUCCUCCGGCAAAUAAGUUCACCGCGAAGAAAUCGAAGAUCAAACGUGCGAACACCAUCGACAUACCCAGCUAUCUGAAGCUACAGACGGAGAGUCUCGGUCGCAAGAGCACUGGCUGCGUUUCCCUUCGGCGACCGAUCAACGUCGGGGACAAGGCGAGCGUUCAUCGUACAGGGACCAUUGUGCCGAGCUUUCAGCCGAGAACGGAGAACGACAGGAAGUUUCUCGCGUUGAUCAACAAGAACAACGACGCGCCCGCGAACACGGUGGUGCCGUUUAAGGCGUUCGGGUUCGCGAAGACAAUGGACGUGCCCCCGUCUACGGCGCAGAAAAACUGGACCAGCCGGUUCUCGAAUAUCAAGACGACCUUCGACAAACCAUCGGGGAACGAGGACAGGGAGAAUAGACCGUCGUUGAAGGAUCGUGCGAACAAGAUGUUCCCCGGGGCGGUACAGAAUUCUUCGUAUCCGUCAAAUUCUGAUUUAGGCUCGAAUUAUAAUUCUCCCGUUAUGAAAGACUUCGGGGGCGGUUUCAGACACGCGCCAUCCUCGCCGUUCAAGAAAAUCGAGAAAUCCCCUGUGUCCCCGUCGAAGGUUCCGCCGGCGUAUCAUUGGCCCAAGAACGCCCCGGUGCCGACGAAUAACUUGAGGGAAAAGGCGAGAAUGAUGUUCGACCGGGAGAACGCACCAGCGAGGUCUAGACCCACUGCAGAUCGCGAGAAACCCGCGUUUCCGCGACCCCCUUGGAUCGAUCACGAGAGGAACGGGACAGUGACGGAGAACGGUCGAAUCGAUUAUAAAUCGUUCUGCAAACAAUUCGCCCCUUUUGUCGGCAAGGCCGCCAUGGAAACGAAGAAGCAGCGCGAGGAACAAAGGAUUCCCGGUGUGGUGGACGGUAAGAUCUCGUUCAAGAUCCCGGAGGGACGCAAACCCCCGAGAAUCCAUCAGUAUCCGGUGGAACGUCCGUUGAUAAAGGAGAAAAUUGGACCGGAGAUCAGGAACAGCUACGAGACGAUCAAAGGAAACGGAGGAUACGGUCAGAAAGAGCCGCCGAAGCCGAGGUUUGCCGACGCUACAUUGCGAGGUAGCUCGUCGGUAGCUGUACAGACCGGUAUCAACGAGGAUCAUCAGGACGAAGGACGAUCGUUCAGAGUAGCGCCGAAGAUUCCGAAAGGAUCUAUGGUUUGUAGCAACGUUUCCGUUCAAACUACCGAUCUAGAGAGACCGUGUGCGUCGAUAAGCGACACGGACACUCGGAAGCAAUGGACACCGAUCGUCGAUGAAGGAUCGACCAUUCAGCGUGGUGUUGACCAUCAGAGAUUCGUCUUGGACCACAAUCAGAGCUAUCGUACGGUUUCAGGUGAUUCCCCGAUGUCCAGUCCACGUCGGUCGUCGAGCGAACAGAACAACAGAGACACUGUUGUUACCCAUCAGGCCGGUCACCAAAAACAACCUGGAAAUCCUGUUAAUCUCCCCAAGGAUCCAACGCACGAGAUUCAGGGUUAUCAGAAGGAAGACGAAGAAGGUCCCGAUCAGCCCGUCGUUUCUCCAACGAGCCUGCCAACCUACGAUCGUUCGCAGAAGGAUAAGUCAACAGCGGACUGGCCCGUAGAGGAUCCGGCGUUCCUGGACGAUCAGAACAUCCAGAACCAGGACAUCAGUCCCGACGUCGGUGUGGUGACACGGUACACCUGCGCGAUCGCCACCGUCGCCACAUCGGUCGACAGUCCUGAACCGCGUUCCGAAGAGCUACCGUUCAUCGAGUCACGCGCCUCCUCGUCACCCUCGCCCUCCCGAUGGUCGUCCAGGUCCAGGCCAACAACCAGCGAGACCGCCACGCCCGAGGACGAGAUACGUAGGCACAAUCUGUUGCAACAGAGCCUGGUCCGGCGUCUGCAGAACGAGAUCGCCUGCCUGAACGACGAACCCCCUCGGUAUCAAGCUGACUCCGGUCAGCAUGUAACCGUGACAUCUAGAAGUGUCAGCCAGUCGUCUGGCGUGGCUGAACCGAGUUACAGUCUCCACCAGAGUCAUCAACCUAGCGCUGCUCACGCCCAACAACGGAACUUCGGUGAAUCCUCCGGGAUCAGUCAGUCACCCAUGUCUAUCCAAGGGUCUCCGCAAAGCAUCGAUCAAACCUCGAACAUCAACCGUCCUCAACAGAUCCCUCAGAGCCACCAACAGAGCUUCGACCAUCCAGCGAACUUCGAUCAAUCGCCGAACGCCCAACCAUCGAAAUUCGGUAAAUUCUUAACUCCAAUCCCCCAGAAAAAGCCAGAACCGUCCAGGACGACCCAUUCGCCCAGUCCAAUUCCAGCGAACCGAGUGGUCUCGCUCCGUGAAGCCUACGAGCUGUCGCCCAGCGGUCAACCGAUCCAGAAGGAACGGUCCCCUGUACCGAACGGGGGGGCGUCGAUCGACUCCAGCGACGAAUACCUGGUCUCCUGCGCGAACAAGUCUUCCAGAUCCAUCGUGUUGUCAAAAUCCGAGUCCUGGCACCAAUUGGCCCAAUCCGCCGGCUAUCCGCGUGCGCCACGUGUCAGCGUACCUACAGCGACAGUAACCUCCAGACCGUCGGUCCAUCCGAAACCACCGAAGCCUAGGUCCCCGUCCUCGCAGAAACUUCGCUCGAAGCAAUUCGAGGCGUCCUCGAUGGCCGACAGCGUGAAGAGGAUGGAGGACAAGAUCAGACAGUACUUCGACAGCCCCGUGGACGCCACUGAAACCAGGGACCAUUCGAAGAGACGUUCACCGAGGACCUUCAACAAGGAAAUGGUCGGCCUGUCUCGUAGCCGUACGAUGCCUGGAAUGUCCGAUGAACGGCUAAGGUUACAGAUACCGAGCACCGUUCAACAGACGCCUCUGCUGAACGUGAACACCGCGGACGUCGAUAAGGUCUUCGACGAUCUGUUCGAGGAGGCCACCAGAACCGAGGGCCGGCAUUGCUGACGCGGACUUCAACGUCGUUUCGUCGUCCUCGACCUGGCGCUAGGUACCAGCCGCGAUCCAAUCGGUUGGGACCGUUGUGGGGACUGUCGUUCUUCUGUUCAUCGGCCCCAACCGGUCGCCACGUGACCUUGAGAACCACUGUGCGGUUAUCUUGCCUCGUGAACACCGAGUGCCGUAUAGUGACACACGAUCCGAGGUGGUCACCGAAGGUUCUGUUUCCAUCGAGAAC